CAAGUCGAACGAUGAAACUUAAAUGAUCUCUUCGGAGUGAACUUAAGUGGAUUAGUGGCGGACGGGUGAGUAACGCGUGAGUAACCUGCCUUAGAGAAGGGGAUAGCCUUUGGAAACGAAGAAUAAUACCCUAUGACAUGAUAGCCUCGCAUGAGAUUAUCAUCAAAGAUUUAUCGCUCUAAGAUGGACUUGCGUCUGAUUAGUUAGUUGGUGGGGUAACGGCCCACCAAGACAGCGAUCAGUAGCCGGCUUGAGAGAGUGUACGGCCACAUUGGGACUGAGACACGGCCCAGACUCCUACGGGAGGCAGCAGUGGGGAAUUUUGCACAAUGGGGGAAACCCUGAUGCAGCGACGCCGCGUGAUUUAGAAGGCCUUCGGGUUGUAAAAAUCUUUUCUAUGGGAAGAACAUGACAGUACCAUAGGAAUAAGGACCGGCUAAUUACGUGCCAGCAGCCGCGGUAAUACGUAAGGUCCGAGCGUUGUCCGGAAUCAUUGGGCGUAAAGGGUACGUAGGCGGGUAAGCAAGUUAGAAGUGAAAUCCUAUAGCUCAACUAUAGUAAGCUUUUAAAACUGCUCAUCUUGAGGUAUGGAAGGGAAAGUGGAAUUCCUAGUGUAGCGGUGAAAUGCGCAGAUAUUAGGAGGAAUACCGGUGGCGAAGGCGACUUUCUGGCCAUAACCUGACGCUGAGGUACGAAAGCGUGGGUAGCAAACAGGAUUAGAUACCCUGGUAGUCCACGCCGUAAACGAUGAGUGUUAGGUGUCUGGAGUAAAUCUGGGUGCCGCAGCUAACGCAUUAAACACUCCGCCUGGGGAGUACGCGCGCAAGCGUG
Molecule: ribosomal RNA, 831 nt
Filed under: uncultured Clostridia bacterium
Lineage: Bacteria; Bacillati; Bacillota; Clostridia
Description: bacterial SSU rRNA
Rfam family: Bacterial small subunit ribosomal RNA
Source: RNAcentral